Molecule: ribosomal RNA, 144 nt
Filed under: Bacillus amyloliquefaciens
Lineage: Bacteria; Bacillati; Bacillota; Bacilli; Caryophanales; Bacillaceae
Description: partial 23S rRNA. Bacterial LSU
Rfam family: Bacterial large subunit ribosomal RNA
Source: RNAcentral
CUAAGCAUGAAGCCCCCCUCAAGAUGAGAUUUCCCAUUCCGCAAGGAAGUAAGAUCCCUGAAAGAUGAUCAGGUUGAUAGGUCUGAGGUGGAAGUGUGGCGACACAUGGAGCUGACAGAUACUAAUCGAUCGAGGACUUAACCA